AUGGCCACAUCAGGUUGAAGCACUGGUUCCUGUAUAAUCACUGAAGUUAAGCAAUAUUGAGGCUGGUCAGUACCUCGGUGGGUGACCACUUGGGAAUACCAGAU
Non-coding RNA from Acanthosepion pharaonis, 104 nucleotides. The record is from the annotation of a GenBank genome assembly. Lineage: Eukaryota; Metazoa; Mollusca; Cephalopoda; Sepiida; Sepiidae.